UACACACGGAUAACAUACCGAAAGGUAUGCUAAUACGGGAUAAUAUAUUUGAGAGGCAUCUCUUAAAUAUCAAAGGUGAGCCAGUACAGGAUGGACCCGCGUCUGAUUAGCUAGUUGGUAAGGUAACGGCUUACCAAGGCGACGAUCAGUAGCCGACCUGAGAGGGUGAUCGGCCACAUUGGAACUGAGACACGGUCCAAACUCCUACGGGAGGCAGCAGUGGGGAAUAUUGCACAAUGGGCGAAAGCCUGAUGCAGCAACGCCGCGUGAGUGAUGAAGGCCUUCGGGUCGUAAAACUCUGUCCUCAAGGAAGAUAAUGACGGUACUUGAGGAGGAAGCCCCGGCUAACUACGUGCCAGCAGCCGCGGUAAUACGUAGGGGGCUAGCGUUAUCCGGAUUUACUGGGCGUAAAGGGUGCGUAGGCGGUCUUUCAAGUCAGGAGUGAAAGGCUACGGCUCAACCGUAGUAAGCUCUUGAAACUGGGAGACUUGAGUGCAGGAGAGGAGAGUGGAAUUCCUAGUGUAGCGGUGAAAUGCGUAGAUAUUAGGAGGAACACCAGUUGCGAAGGCGGCUCUCUGGGCUGUAACUGACGCUGAGGCACGAAAGCGUGGGGAGCAAACAGGAUUAGAUACCCUGGUAGUCCACGCUGUAAACGAUGAGUACUAGGUGUCGGGGGUUACCCCCCUCGGUGCCGCAG
RNAcentral lists this ribosomal RNA (697 nucleotides) under uncultured bacterium. RNAcentral's name for it is "bacterial SSU rRNA". It matches the Rfam family "Bacterial small subunit ribosomal RNA", at positions 134 to 851 of the family's 1533-position model. The record is from RNAcentral.